Molecule: ribosomal RNA, 498 nt
Filed under: uncultured bacterium
Lineage: Bacteria
Description: bacterial SSU rRNA
Rfam family: Bacterial small subunit ribosomal RNA
Source: RNAcentral
AUUGAACGCUGGCGGCAUGCCUUACACAUGCAAGUCGAACGGUAACGGGCCUUCGGGUGCCGACGAGUGGCGAACGGGUGAGUAAUGUAUCGGAACGUACCUUUCAGUGGGGGAUAACGUAGCGAAAGUUACGCUAAUACCGCAUAUUCUGUGAGCAGGAAAGCAGGGGAUCGCAAGACCUUGCGCUGAUUGAGCGGCCGAUAUCAGAUUAGCUAGUUGGUGAGGUAAAGGCUCACCAAGGCGACGAUCUGUAGCGGGUCUGAGAGGAUGAUCCGCCACACUGGAACUGAGACACGGUCCAGACUCCUACGGGAGGCAGCAGUGGGGAAUUUUGGACAAUGGGGGCAACCCUGAUCCAGCCAUGCCGCGUGAGUGAAGAAGGCCUUCGGGUUGUAAAGCUCUUUCGGCCGGGAAAAAUACGCAUCAGUUAAUACCUGGUGUGGAUGAUGUACCGGAAUAAGAAGCACCGGCUAACUACGUGCCAGCAGCCGCGGUAAC